Molecule: long non-coding RNA, 419 nt
Filed under: Brachypodium distachyon (stiff brome)
Lineage: Eukaryota; Viridiplantae; Streptophyta; Magnoliopsida; Poales; Poaceae
Description: long non-coding RNA (BDIS_LNC002419)
Source: RNAcentral
GGGUAUGCAUAAUCGAUCGAUAUGAACUCACGCUUAAUCAUAUUUCACUGAAAUUAAGCAACAAGCUAGCCAAAUAGCAGAGGGAAUUAACUGACUGUUGCGUUUAAUUUGUGCAUAUGCAGGAGCUCUGGUGGGCUGGAGAUGGCCGGCGGGGAGGAGAGCGGCGGCUGCGACUGCACCACCUGCAAGUGCGGCACCGCCUGCGGCUGCUCCUGCUGCACCUGCAACUAGAGCCACACACCAGCGACCAUGAGGAAUGAGGAUCGAUCCAGGAUCUAGGACAACUGCACUGCAAGCAUGCACCCACCAUCGCCGCCCAGCUAGCUAGCUUACUAGCCAGUUAGCUGCUAAAUAAAAUAAAAUCUUCUGUCAAGUCACCAACUCGAUCACGACCGUAUUGUUCAUCCGACACGAUCCAU